AGAGUUUGAUCAUGGCUCAGGACGAACGCUGGCGGCGUGCCUAACACAUGCAAGUCGAGCGGGGUCCAUCCAGUGGCAACACUGGUGAAGACCUAGCGGCGAACGGGUGAGUAACACGUGAGAAACCUGCCCUGAAGUCUGGGAUAACCCGAGGAAACUCGAGCUAAUACCGGAUACCCCCACCGAGUCGCAUGGCCCGGUGAGGAAAGAUUUAUCGCUUCAGGAGGGUCUCGCGGCCUAUCAGCUAGUUGGCGGGGUAACGGCCCACCAAGGCAUCGACGGGUAGCUGGUCUGAGAGGACGAUCAGCCACACUGGGACUGAGACACGGCCCAGACUCCUACGGGAGGCAGCAGUGGGGAAUAUUGCGCAAUGGGCGAAAGCCUGACGCAGCAACGCCGCGUGCGGGAUGAAGGCCUUCGGGUUGUAAACCGCUUUCAGUGGGGACGAAAACAGACGGUACCCACAGAAGAAGCCCCGGCCAACUACGUGCCAGCAGCCGCGGUAACACGUAGGGGGCGAGCGUUGUCCGGAUUUAUUGGGCGUAAAGAGCUCGUAGGCGGCUCGGUAAGUGAGGUGUGAAAACUCCAGGCUCAACCUGGAGACGCCACCUCAUACUGCCGUGGCUAGAGUCCGGUAGGGGAGCAUGGAAUUCCUGGUGUAGCGGUGAAAUGCGCAGAUAUCAGGAGGAACACCAGUGGCGAAGGCGGUGCUCUGGGCCGGAACUGACGCUGAGGAGCGAAAGCGUGGGGAGCAAACAGGAUUAGAUACCCUAGUAGUCC
RNAcentral lists this ribosomal RNA (780 nucleotides) under uncultured bacterium. Its description in RNAcentral is "bacterial SSU rRNA". It matches the Rfam family "Bacterial small subunit ribosomal RNA", at positions 8 to 796 of the family's 1533-position model. The record is from RNAcentral.